GGAGAGAUGGCCGAGUUUGGCUUAAGGCGGCUGAUUCGAAAUCAGUUGUCCACCUCCAGGUGGACCGGGGGUUCGAAUCCCUCUCUCUCCGCCA
This 94-nucleotide transfer RNA is filed under the name Deltaproteobacteria bacterium. RNAcentral's name for it is "tRNA-Ser". It matches the Rfam family "tRNA". Rfam says of the family: Transfer RNA (tRNA) molecules are approximately 80 nucleotides in length. Their secondary structure includes four short double-helical elements and three loops (D, anti-codon, and T loops). The record is from RNAcentral. Lineage: Bacteria; Pseudomonadati; Myxococcota; Myxococcia.